GUGCUUGCUUCAGCAGCAUAUAUACUAAAAUGGGACAAUAGAGAGAGAUUUGUACAGCCCCUGUGCAAAGAUGACACAAAAAUCUGUGAAGCAUUCUGUUUCUUU
This is a small nuclear RNA of Apodemus sylvaticus (European woodmouse), 105 nucleotides long. The record is from RefSeq and is a predicted model, not a curated record. NCBI's taxonomy places the organism in Eukaryota, Metazoa, Chordata, Mammalia, Rodentia, Muridae.